GCCCAGAGUUUGAUCCUGGCUCAGGACGAACGCUGGCGGCGUGCCUAAUACAUGCAAGUCGAGCGCAGGAAACAGGCUGAUCCCUUCGGGGUGAUGCCUGUGGAAUGAGCGGCGGACGGGUGAGUAACACGUGGGCAACCUGCCUCACAGACUGGGAUAACUCCGGGAAACCGGAGCUAAUACCGGAUGACCAACGGAGUUGCAUAACUCUGUUGUAAAAGUUGGGAUUUAUCCUAACACUGUGAGAUGGGCCCGCGGCGCAUUAGCUAGUUGGUGAGGUAACGGCUCACCAAGGCGACGAUGCGUAGCCCGACCUGAGAGGGUGAUCGGCCACACUGGAACUGAGACACGGUCCAGACUCCUACGGGAGGCAGCAGUAGGGAAUCAUCCGCAAUGGGCGAAAGCCUGACGGUGCAAC
RNAcentral lists this ribosomal RNA (418 nucleotides) under uncultured bacterium. RNAcentral's name for it is "bacterial SSU rRNA". It matches the Rfam family "Bacterial small subunit ribosomal RNA", at positions 1 to 395 of the family's 1533-position model. The record is from RNAcentral.